Molecule: ribosomal RNA, 253 nt
Filed under: uncultured bacterium
Lineage: Bacteria
Description: partial 16S ribosomal RNA
Rfam family: Bacterial small subunit ribosomal RNA
Source: RNAcentral
UACGGAGGGUGCGAGCGUUAUCCGGAAUUACUGGGCUUAAAGGGUGCGUAGGCGGCGUAGUAAGUCAGGAGUGAAAGUUUGCGGCUCAACCGUAAAAUUGCUUUUGAUACUGCUAUGCUAGAAUUAGGAUGAGGUCAGCGGAAUGUGGCAUGUAGCGGUGAAAUGCAUAGAUAUGCCAUAGAACACCAAUUGCGAAGGCAGCUGGCUAGACCUGGAUUGACGCUGAGGCACGAAAGCGUGGGGAGCGAACAGG